Long non-coding RNA from Dromaius novaehollandiae (emu), 397 nucleotides. RefSeq lists it as uncharacterized. The transcript is spliced from 2 exons. The record is from RefSeq and is a predicted model, not a curated record. NCBI's taxonomy places the organism in Eukaryota, Metazoa, Chordata, Aves, Casuariiformes, Dromaiidae.
GGAAAAAAGGCUGAGCCCGAGAUAAACUAGGAAGUAAACAAGGCAGAAGAUGAGCUUGGUCGGAGGGAGCAGAAGAGCAGGAGCCUGCGGCACAGGACAGCAGUGUUUGGAGAGGAAUAGCAGCUCAGUAAAGGGAAUCACAUCAGAGAGGGGAGGAAAAAAGAAGAAAAAAAAGGAAGUGAGCACUAACUGUAGAUCCUACAGUAGCAGCAUUCAAGAGAGAAGCAGUUAAGGUCUCCCAGCUACAGGUCCUAUAUUUCUCUACACUAUGCCUUACUAGAUGAUCCCUCCAAGGCAAAAAAGACUUUAUGCAAAACUAUGAAGAACGGUGAGAUAAAACACGGGAAGUUUCACUUAUUUUUAAACUUUGUUAGAGAAAAAAAACGAGGUAAACAUA